GUGUGCCUACGGGGGGCAGCAGUGGGGGAUAUUGCACAAUGGGGGAAACCCUGAUGCAGCGACGCCGCGUGUAGGAAGACGGUCCUCUGGAUUGUAAACUACUGUCCCCAGGGACGAAGAUGACGGUACCUGGGGAGGAAGCUCCGGCUAACUACGUGCCAGCAGCCGCGGUAAUACGGAGGAUGCGAGCGUUAUCCGGAUUUAUUGGGUUUAAAGGGUGCGCAGGCGGAUUUUUAAGUCAGCGGUCAAAUCGUGGGGCUCAACCCCAUCCCGCCGUUUAAA
This 282-nucleotide ribosomal RNA is filed under the name uncultured bacterium. RNAcentral's name for it is "partial 16S ribosomal RNA". It matches the Rfam family "Bacterial small subunit ribosomal RNA", at positions 333 to 632 of the family's 1533-position model. The record is from RNAcentral.